UACAGAGGUCUCAAGCGUUGUUCGGAUUCAUUGGGCGUAAAGGGUGCGUAGGUGGCGGGGUAAGUCAGGUGUGAAAUCUCGGGGCUCAACCCCGAAACUGCACUUGAUACUGCCUUGCUCGAGUACUGGAGAGGAGAUUGGAAUUUACGGUGUAGCAGUGAAAUGCGUAGAUAUCGUAAGGAAGACCAGUUGCGAAGGCGAAUCUCUGGGCAGUUCCUGACACUGAGGCACGAAGGCCAGGGGAGCAAACGGG
RNAcentral lists this ribosomal RNA (253 nucleotides) under uncultured bacterium. RNAcentral describes it as "partial 16S ribosomal RNA". It matches the Rfam family "Bacterial small subunit ribosomal RNA", at positions 524 to 776 of the family's 1533-position model. The record is from RNAcentral.